AAUUGGAAAAUUGCCAAAAUUGGCUAAAUAAAAAUGGGACUAAAUUGGAAUAUCUAGAAUUCUCUUCAUUUCUCUUCAUAUUCAUCAGCUGAAAAACAGCCAUGGAGGAGGGUUCAAGCUGGUUUUCAUACUCUAGCUUCAUGAUGUGGAUGGAGAGGAGGAGGAGGAAAAAUAUACAUAUAUAUGAAUGACUCGUGUAUAAAUUGAUCACAUGCCCGGUUAUAAUCGAUGAGUGUUGGAUUAGAAAUGAUAUAAUGUUUUAUUUGGAAUAUUUAUUAUGAAAUUAUGAUUAUCGUUAUAAUACAAAAAUUGAACUUGUGAGUUUAUAUGGCUAAAUUUUAGUGAUUAUUUGUUAAUUUUAUGAAUUUUAUGAUGAGUUAUUUCAUAUGUAUUGAUGAUAAAA
Gossypium arboreum is the source of this 403-nucleotide long non-coding RNA. RefSeq lists it as uncharacterized. The transcript is spliced from 2 exons. Lineage: Eukaryota; Viridiplantae; Streptophyta; Magnoliopsida; Malvales; Malvaceae. The record is from RefSeq and is a predicted model, not a curated record.